This is a long non-coding RNA of Salvia miltiorrhiza (redroot sage), 1272 nucleotides long. RefSeq lists it as uncharacterized. Lineage: Eukaryota; Viridiplantae; Streptophyta; Magnoliopsida; Lamiales; Lamiaceae. The record is from RefSeq and is a predicted model, not a curated record. The transcript is spliced from 2 exons.
AAGACAAAAUAACCAACUUUUAAUGAAGCUAGAUCAAGGCAUGCUUAUCUUCUGCCACUAUGUAUAUUCUCGUCAAUGGCAGCCCAUCUGGUGAGUUUCCUCUGCAACGUGGUAUAAGACAAGGAGAUCCUUUGUCUCCCUUUCUUUUCCUCAUCAUAGUUGAAGGAUUUAACUGUAUUAUGCAAAGGGCAAUCUCUCUUAACAUGUUUGAGGGAGUUUUUAUUGGGAAAGAGAAUGCUCUUGUGAGUCAUCUUCAACGAUACGGUUAUUAUUGGAAAAGCCUUAGUCAGCAAUGCUAAGCUCAUCAAAGGCAUUCUUCUGUUGUUUGAAAUAUCCUCUGGUCUUAGAGUGAAUUUUUCUAAGAGCUCCAUCCAUGGCAUUCAUUUGAAUUAUUUGGAGACUUCCUACUUUGCAGACAUCAUUGGAUGCAAGUGUUUCUGUUAGGCCGUCAAUAUCUGAUACAUUCUCGUGGAAAGGGGCAAGCAAUGGAAAUUUUUUAACUAAAGAGAUGUAUUCCUUGCAUCACAAAGCUUCACUUAAUGAGGAAAGCAUUCCGGUGGCUUUUCGUAACAUUUGGUCGAGGCAUAUCCCGAGCAAGGUUUCUUCUUUCACUUGGAGGGCUCUUCAAGAUAGAAUUCCGACAAGAUCCAACCUGUUAAGGAGAAGAGUCGCUCUCCAGAACGACGACUACAACUGCCCAUUUUGUCAUUCUCUUGAAUAAAGCUCUGAUCACGUUCUUAUCUCUUAUCAAUUCGCCGAUUCUAUUUGGAAGGGAUUAUGUUGCUGGCUCAAGGUUUCGUUUCUCUCUUCAAUGUCUCUUUUGGAUCAUUUUUAUGAGUUCGUCAACUUGGGAAAGAAUAAGGACGCAAAGAUGAUGUUCAAUGUCAUUUGGCAAUGCGCUUGUUGGAAGAUUUAUAAAGGAAUGAACGAUAAGAUCUUUAAUGAAGGGUGUCCGGAUAUUGGUAGGAUUGUUGAUGGCAUUAUUAUUUGUAUAUGGAGGUGGUUCAGGGCGAGCUCUCCUUUCUAUUUUUGUGUUUCUUCUCAUUGUUGGUUCUCUGACCCUAUUGGAUGCUUCCGAUCUAGGUUUUCCUAGAUGUUUUUCUUUGGUUGGUGUAUGGACACUAGGGCUGUAUACAAACCGAGCCGAGCCGAAUACCUCCAGGCUCGGGCUCGGUUCGUGAUGAUUUGGUUCGGCUCGAGCUUGAAUUCGAGCCUAAAAAUGAGCUCGAGCUCAGCUCGCUUAUAUAAUACCAAGCUCGAGUUUGGUUCGAA